GGAUAGCCUUGUGGUCAAGGCGUUCGCCUGUCUCCUUAGAGAUCCCGGGUUCGAUACCCACUGCCCG
RNAcentral lists this transfer RNA (67 nucleotides) under Cryptomonas paramaecium. RNAcentral's name for it is "Cryptomonas paramecium tRNA". The record is from RNAcentral. Lineage: Eukaryota; Cryptophyceae; Cryptomonadales; Cryptomonadaceae.